AGUUGAUCCUAGCUCAGAUUGAACGCUGGCGGCAGGCUUAACACAUGCAAGUCGAGCGGGGAAAUGUAGCUUGCUACAUUACCUAGCGGCGGACGGGUGAGUAAUGCUUAGGAAUCUGCCUAUUAGUGGGGGGACAACAUCUCGAAAGGGAUGCUAAUACCGCAUACGUCCUACGGGAGAAAGCAGGGGACCUUCGGGCCUUGCGCUAAUAGAUGAGCCUAAGUCGGAUUAGCUAGUUGGUGGGGUAAAGGCCUACCAAGGCGACGAUCUGUAGCGGGUCUGAGAGGAUGAUCCGCCACACUGGGACUGAGACACGGCCCAGACUCCUACGGGAGGCAGCAGUGGGGAAUAUUGGACAAUGGGGGGAACCCUGAUCCAGCCAUGCCGCGUGUGUGAAGAAGGCCCUUUUGGUUGUAAAGCACUUUAAGCGAGGAGGAGGCUACCGAGAUUAAUACUCUUGGAUAGUGGACGUUACUCGCAGAAUAAGCACCGGCUAACUCUGUGCCAGCAGCAGC
RNAcentral lists this ribosomal RNA (515 nucleotides) under uncultured bacterium. Its description in RNAcentral is "bacterial SSU rRNA". It matches the Rfam family "Bacterial small subunit ribosomal RNA", at positions 10 to 518 of the family's 1533-position model. The record is from RNAcentral.